AUGGCACAGAAAUUUACUUUGGAAAAUGUGGGGGCCCCCCUCCCCCCCAAAAAAAACUACGUCCAUGCCUCUGACCAGAAAGGUUCAGGUCAUUAUUUUAUCAGGAUAAAAGAGCUGAAUUCCAUGCCUGCUUCAUGUCAGACUAUCUGUGUGUGGACGGGAGGUGUUAGCUGCUGGACAGACCUCCUCUCUCCAGUUGUUAGAGAGAUUUUCUCAUUUAAUUCAAGUUUGCACGUAACUGUGUGUUAUCAUUUCUGUUGGAAUUGUUACGUACACGGCACACUACUACACACUACUACACACUACUACACACUACUACACACUACUGUACACUACUUCACACUACUACACACUACUACACACUACUACACACUACUACACACUACUUCACACUACUACACACUACUGUACACUACUACACACUACUACACACUACUGUACACUACUUCACACUACUACACACUACUACACACUACUACACACUACUACACACUACUUCACACUACUUCACACUACUACACACUACUACACACUACUUCACACUACUACACACUACUGUACACUACUACACACUACUACACACUACUGUACACUACUUCACACUACUACACACUACUACACACUACUACACACUACUACACACUACUUCACACUACUUCACACUACUACACACUACUACACACUACUUCACACUACUACACACUACUGCACACUACUACACACUACUUCACACUACUGUACACUACUUCACACUACUACACACUACUACACACUACUACACACUACUACACACUACUUCACACUACUUCACACUACUACACACUACUACACACUACUUCACACUACUACACACUACUGUACACUACUACACACUACUACACACUACUGUACACUACUUCACACUACUACACACUACUACACACUACUACACACUACUACACACUACUUCACACUACUUCACACUACUACACACUACUACACACUACUUCACACUACUACACACUACUGCACACUACUACACACUACUUCACACUACUGUACACUACUUCACACUACUACACACUACUACACACUACUACACACUACUACACACUACUUCACACUACUUCACACUACUACACACUACUACACACUACUUCACACUACUAA
RNAcentral lists this long non-coding RNA (1149 nucleotides) under Nothobranchius furzeri (turquoise killifish). RNAcentral describes it as "lncRNA (ENSNFUG00015023014.1)". Lineage: Eukaryota; Metazoa; Chordata; Actinopteri; Cyprinodontiformes; Nothobranchiidae. The record is from RNAcentral.